This 367-nucleotide ribosomal RNA is filed under the name uncultured bacterium. RNAcentral describes it as "bacterial SSU rRNA". It matches the Rfam family "Bacterial small subunit ribosomal RNA", at positions 440 to 793 of the family's 1533-position model. The record is from RNAcentral.
CAGUGAGGAAGGUGGGUAUGUUAAUAGCAUAUUCAUUUUGACGUUUAGCUGCAGAAGAAGCACCGGCUAACUCCGUGCCAGCAGCCGCGGUAAUACGGAGGGUGCGUAGCGUUAAUCGGGAAUUACUGGGCGUAAAGCGCAUGCAGGUGGUUUGUUAAGUCAGAUGUGAAAGCCCGGGGCUCAACCUCGGAAUUGCAUUUGAAACUGGCAAACUAGAGUACUGUAGAGGGGGUAGAAUUUCAGGUGUAGCGGUGAAAUGCGUAGAGAUCUGAAGGAAUACCCGGUGGCGAAGGCGGCCCCCCUGGACAGAUACUGACACUCAGAUGCGAAAGCGUGGGGGAGCAAACAGGAUUAGAUACCAUGGUAG